RNAcentral lists this ribosomal RNA (293 nucleotides) under uncultured bacterium. RNAcentral's name for it is "partial 16S ribosomal RNA". It matches the Rfam family "Bacterial small subunit ribosomal RNA", at positions 505 to 796 of the family's 1533-position model. The record is from RNAcentral.
GUGCCAGCAGCCGCGGUAAUACGUAGGGGGCGAGCGUUGUCCGGAUUUAUUGGGCGUAAAAGGCUUGUAGGUGGCCACGCCAAGUCGGACGUGAAAUAUCCCGGCUUAACCGGGAGGGGUCGUUCGAUACUGGCGGGCUCGAGGCCGGUAGGGGGAAGCGGAAUUCCCGGUGUAGUGGUGGAAUGCGUAGAUAUCGGGAGGAACACCAGUGGCGAAGGCGGCUUCCUGGACCGGUUCUGACACUGAGGAGCGAAAGCGUGGGGAGCGAUCCGGAUUAGAUACCCCUGUAGUCC